UGGCUCUCGCAUCGAUGAAGAACGCAGCGAAAUGCGAUAAGUAAUGUGAAUUGCAGAAUUCAGUGAAUCAUCGAAUCUUUGAACGCACCUUGCACCCUUUGGUAUUCCGAAGGGUACGCCUGUUUGAGCGUCAUUAAUCUCUCAAAGCCUUCAGUUUGCUUGCGAAUCGAUUGCUUUGGAUGUGAGGGUUGCUGGUUGUCGACCGAUCAGACUCCCUUUAAAUGCAUUAGUGGUUAUCUGAUCCACUUAAGUGUGAUAGUCUAUCUACGCUUGACUUGGAUUCGGAAUUGACUGCUUCUAACUGUCCAUCUAUCGGACAAUAGACACUGAUUGAUAGCUUUCAGUCGAAAGACUGGUCGUGAAGUAUGUUAACCCUUACUUCAAACCCCCUUCAAUCGGAGUCGAUUUGACUAUUUGACCUCAAAUCAGGUGGGACUACCCGCUGA
RNAcentral lists this unclassified non-coding RNA (446 nucleotides) under uncultured fungus. RNAcentral's name for it is "partial contains 5.8S ribosomal RNA and internal transcribed spacer 2". The stretch from base 1 to 133 matches the Rfam family "5.8S ribosomal RNA", at positions 22 to 154 of the family's 154-position model. Lineage: Eukaryota; Fungi. The record is from RNAcentral.